This 1438-nucleotide ribosomal RNA is filed under the name uncultured organism. RNAcentral's name for it is "SSU rRNA". It matches the Rfam family "Bacterial small subunit ribosomal RNA". The record is from RNAcentral.
UGCUACAGGCUUAACACAUGCAAGUCGAGGGGCAGCAUGGUCUUAGCUUGCUAAGGCCGAUGGCGACCGGCGCACGGGUGAGUAACACGUAUCCAACCUGCCGUCUACUCUUGGACAGCCUUCUGAAAGGAAGAUUAAUACAAGAUGGCAUCAUGAGUCCGCAUGUUCACAUGAUUAAAGGUAUUCCGGUAGACGAUGGGGAUGCGUUCCAUUAGAUAGUAGGCGGGGUAACGGCCCACCUAGUCUUCGAUGGAUAGGGGUUCUGAGAGGAAGGUCCCCCACAUUGGAACUGAGACACGGUCCAAACUCCUACGGGAGGCAGCAGUGAGGAAUAUUGGUCAAUGGGCGAGAGCCUGAACCAGCCAAGUAGCGUGAAGGAUGACUGCCCUAUGGGUUGUAAACUUCUUUUAUAAAGGAAUAAAGUCGGGUAUGGAUACCCGUUUGCAUGUACUUUAUGAAUAAGGAUCGGCUAACUCCGUGCCAGCAGCCGCGGUAAUACGGAGGAUCCGAGCGUUAUCCGGAUUUAUUGGGUUUAAAGGGAGCGUAGAUGGAUGUUUAAGUCAGUUGUGAAAGUUUGCGGCUCAACCGUAAAAUUGCAGUUGAUACUGGAUAUCUUGAGUGCAGUUGAGGCAGGCGGAAUUCGUGGUGUAGCGGUGAAAUGCUUAGAUAUCACGAAGAACUCCGAUUGCGAAGGCAGCCUGCUAAGCUGCAACUGACAUUGAGGCUCGAAAGUGUGGGUAUCAAACAGGAUUAGAUACCCUGGUAGUCCACACGGUAAACGAUGAAUACUCGCUGUUUGCGAUAUACUGCAAGCGGCCAAGCGAAAGCGUUAAGUAUUCCACCUGGGGAGUACGCCGGCAACGGUGAAACUCAAAGGAAUUGACGGGGGCCCGCACAAGCGGAGGAACAUGUGGUUUAAUUCGAUGAUACGCGAGGAACCUUACCCGGGCUUAAAUUGCAGAUGAAUUACGGUGAAAGCCGUAAGCCGCAAGGCAUCUGUGAAGGUGCUGCAUGGUUGUCGUCAGCUCGUGCCGUGAGGUGUCGGCUUAAGUGCCAUAACGAGCGCAACCCUUGUUGUCAGUUACUAACAGGUUCCGCUGAGGACUCUGACAAGACUGCCAUCGUAAGAUGUGAGGAAGGUGGGGAUGACGUCAAAUCAGCACGGCCCUUACGUCCGGGGCUACACACGUGUUACAAUGGGGGGUACAGAGGGCCGCUACCACGCGAGUGGAUGCCAAUCCCAAAAACCUCUCUCAGUUCGGACUGGAGUCUGCAACCCGACUCCACGAAGCUGGAUUCGCUAGUAAUCGCGCAUCAGCCACGGCGCGGUGAAUACGUUCCCGGGCCUUGUACACACCGCCCGUCAAGCCAUGGGAGCCGGGGGUACCUGAAGUGCGUAACCGCGAGGAGCGCCCUAGGGUAAAACUGGUGACUGGGG